UACCAGCACCCCGAGUGGUGGGGAUGAUUAUUUGGCCUAAAGCGUCCGUAGCCGGCCGGGUAAGUUUCCCGUUAAAUCCAACGUCUCAAGCGUUGGACUGCGGGAAAUACUGCCUGGCUAGAGAGUGGGAGAGGUCAGCGGUAUUCUGGGGGUAGGGGCGAAAUCCUUUGAUCCCCGGAGGACCACCAGUGGCGAAGGCUGCUGACUAGAACACGUCUGACGGUCAGGGACGAAAGCUGGGGUAGCGAACCGGAUUAGAUACCCGGGUAGUCCCAGCCGUAAACGAUGCAUGCUAGGUGUUGGGUUGGCCACGAGCCACCCCAGUGCCGCAGGGAAGCCGUUAAGCAUGCCGCCUGGGAAGUACGAUCGCAAGAUUGAAACUUAAAGGAAUUGGCGGGGAGCACCACCAGGCGUGAAGCCUGCGGUUU
RNAcentral lists this ribosomal RNA (428 nucleotides) under uncultured archaeon. RNAcentral's name for it is "bacterial SSU rRNA". It matches the Rfam family "Archaeal small subunit ribosomal RNA", at positions 474 to 903 of the family's 1478-position model. The record is from RNAcentral.